CCUCCUUAAAAGUAGACGAGUUGGGCGUGAAAGCGUCCACACAAUUUGCCUGUUUGAUGUCCGUGACCACGGGUCUGUAGCUCAGUUGGUUAGAGCGCACCCCUGAUAAGGGUGAGGUCGGAAGUUCAAAUCUUCCCAGACCCACCAUUUCUUCGAGCAAGAAGAUCUUUCGGGGCCAUAGCUCAGCUGGGAGAGCACCUGCUUUGCAAGCAGGGGGUCGGCGGUUCGAUCCCGCCUGGCUCCACCAGGAGACAAACGCCAGUAGCAUCGGCUAUUUUCGUUUGUCCCCUGAUCAGGUCUGGUCGGGAACCGUUCUUUAAAAAUUUGGGUAGUGAUAUACGACGGUGAAGUCGAUUCCCUUCGGGGAAGAAACUUUUCUGGGUAUACCAGCAUUUACUAGUAAGUUCAGACUCUAAAGAAGUUCAGUCUUCUUUGGGGUUUAUAUUGAUCAAGCGACUAAGCCGCGCACGGUGGUAUGCCUUUGGCAAAAGGGCGAAUUUCCAGGCACCACUGGGCGGGCCGGUUACUAAGUGGGAUCCGGAGCCUCGGGUACCAAGCCUUUGGCCGUUAAUCCUUGGGUCAUUAAGCUUUUUUUCCUGUUUUGAAAAAUUGUUAUCCCGCCUUCAACAAAUUCCCCCCACCAA
Molecule: transfer RNA, 644 nt
Filed under: uncultured Chromatiales bacterium
Lineage: Bacteria; Pseudomonadati; Pseudomonadota; Gammaproteobacteria; Chromatiales
Description: partial 16S-23S ribosomal RNA intergenic spacer
Rfam family: tRNA (bases 71-144)
Source: RNAcentral